RNAcentral lists this transfer RNA (86 nucleotides) under Phaeocystis rex. RNAcentral's name for it is "tRNA-Ser". It matches the Rfam family "tRNA". Rfam says of the family: Transfer RNA (tRNA) molecules are approximately 80 nucleotides in length. Lineage: Eukaryota; Haptophyta; Phaeocystales; Phaeocystaceae. The record is from RNAcentral.
UUAUGUGUGGUUGAGCGGCUUAAAACGCUAGAUUGCUAAUCUAGAAAAUCAUAACGAUUUCAUAGGUUCGAAUCCUAUCACUUAAA